This 16-nucleotide small RNA is filed under the name Arabidopsis thaliana (thale cress). Its description in RNAcentral is "ATSL135360". The record is from RNAcentral. Lineage: Eukaryota; Viridiplantae; Streptophyta; Magnoliopsida; Brassicales; Brassicaceae.
AAAAAUAGAAGAAAAA